This 343-nucleotide ribosomal RNA is filed under the name Clostridioides difficile. Its description in RNAcentral is "bacterial SSU rRNA". It matches the Rfam family "Bacterial small subunit ribosomal RNA", at positions 1 to 351 of the family's 1533-position model. Lineage: Bacteria; Bacillati; Bacillota; Clostridia; Peptostreptococcales; Peptostreptococcaceae. The record is from RNAcentral.
UUUUAUUUGAGAGUUUGAUCCUGGCUCAGGAUGAACGCUGGCGGCGUGCCUAACACAUGCAAGUUGAGCGAUUUACUUCGGUAAAGAGCGGCGGACGGGUGAGUAACGCGUGGGUAACCUACCCUGUACACACGGAUAACAUACCGAAAGGUAUGCUAAUACGGGAUAAUAUAUUUGAGAGGCAUCUCUUGAAUAUCAAAGGUGAGCCAGUACAGGAUGGACCCGCGUCUGAUUAGCUAGUUGGUAAGGUAACGGCUUACCAAGGCGACGAUCAGUAGCCGACCUGAGAGGGUGAUCGGCCACAUUGGAACUGAGACACGGUCCAAACUCCUACGGGAGGCAG